UCUUUUUCGAAUUAAUCAAAAUGAAAUUGAAUAAUAUUUUUGGUGAAAAGCAUACGAUUUUGCCGCGUUUUAGAGGAAUGAUGCGUCGAACGUGGCAGAAUUGGUACUUGGAAAAAUUUAAGGAUCACAAAAACGAGUUUAACGAUAACAACAUUUUCAUGGAGGUUAAAACUCACGUUUUUAAAUCAGCCGGUUAUAAAAAGUAUCCAGAAGCGCAUACGACGGAUUUAUACAAAAUUGCCGCUUACGGAAGCCCGGCGAAAUAUAAUCUAGAAAAAAUUGUACCGAGCUUAACAAAAUUAAACAUAACCGAUUCCGCGUAUCAAAUAAAAGGGGAAGUCGAUUUGGUUCAUACGCUUAAAGAGAAUUCGCCGGAAUCCCGUGAAACCUUCAUUUUUAGGGAUGGCGUUGUGGUGUUUUGGAACUUUACUAAAGAAGAUACCAAAGAUGUUAUGGAUAUUCUAUCAGAACAUCAAAUUUUUGGUUACGUCGUUGAUCAUCAUAUGCAAUCAUUCGAUGUCAAUUAUUACACACUUAGUAAGAGUAGAUAUUGUUCAAUAGGACCUGACGGUGUAUUUACGCUCCCAGAAAAUAAUAAUUUCCAUGAAAAGUACGUCACCUCUUGCAUGUUAGCCACAUCAGUGAGCUUAACAAUAUGGCAAACAGUCUUGGAACUUUACCUGCAUAAUAUUUUAGAAAACGUUGCUCACGAUAUGAAUAUUGGGUACACCGUAAAAGCUACAAGGAGAGAAGUAGAACAGUUACAUGGAAAUUUAUCGUCUUUGACGUUCUUCAUGGAGAUUAACGACCACGUUUAUCAGCGUAUAGCGAAAGGAGAACAAGCAAAAAUGGACCAUUUUCAUAAAGAACUCUGGAUACAAAAUAGCAUUCAUAGAAGAAUAAAAGACCUACAAAAACGUCUAUUUCACUGCAACGAAAUCAGUAAUUUAAUAUUAGUUUUAACAUCACAUAGAAAACAUAGACGCUCCUUCAGAAUAUAUUACAUGGGUAGUAUUGCUACAAUAUUAUUUGCGAUGUUAAGUACUUUGUAUAAAAUUCGUGCGUUGAGAGAACAGAGGAAGCAGAAAGCAUAAGGAUAAUUUAACAUCAAUUUGGUAAUUUCAAAUUUAGUCCGUCUUUAAUAUCAUGUGAUAAUUUGUAGUGCUGGAUUGAAAGAGACUUUAAUUUUAAUUAAAUCCGCAAAGGAAUUCAGCAGCGGCGUCCUCUCCUCUGUAAUUUUUCUUUUCAUUUAGACAAUGAGUGGAAUUUCAAUCAAUAAAAAUAUUUGUGCCGUUUUAAAUGUUCCUUUUUAAUGAUCAUAUUGAACACAUAUUUGAACAUUUUAUUUAUUUCGUAUUUUUAGUAAUAAGCCAUCAAAUCAUUGAUACCUAUUUAUUCACUCAACCAAAAUGAAAGAAGAGAAACGAGGCUGUUAUGAACUUCAAGAGUGAACGAGGCGAAGUAUUUAGAACUGGUAAACAAUGUACUUAAUAACUUC
Onthophagus taurus is the source of this 1498-nucleotide RNA transcript. It is a transcript of the gene named required for meiotic nuclear division protein 1 homolog, with no coding region annotated. Lineage: Eukaryota; Metazoa; Arthropoda; Insecta; Coleoptera; Scarabaeidae. The record is from RefSeq and is a predicted model, not a curated record.